This 465-nucleotide ribosomal RNA is filed under the name uncultured Selenomonas sp. RNAcentral describes it as "bacterial SSU rRNA". It matches the Rfam family "Bacterial small subunit ribosomal RNA", at positions 338 to 795 of the family's 1533-position model. Lineage: Bacteria; Bacillati; Bacillota; Negativicutes; Selenomonadales; Selenomonadaceae. The record is from RNAcentral.
CCUACGGGAGGCAGCAGUGGGGAAUCUUCCGCAAUGGGCGCAAGCCUGACGGAGCAACGCCGCGUGAGUGAAGAAGGUCUUCGGAUCGUAAAGCUCUGUUGAUGGGGACGAACGUGCGAAGGGUGAAUAAUCCUUUGUAAUGACGGUACCUGUCGAGGAAGCCACGGCUAACUACGUGCCAGCAGCCGCGGUAAUACGUAGGUGGCGAGCGUUGUCCGGAAUCAUUGGGCGUAAAGGGAGCGCAGGCGGGCAUGUAAGUCUUUCUUAAAAGUGCGGGGCUCAACCCCGUGAUGGGAAAGAAACUACAUGUCUUGAGUACAGGAGAGGAAAGCGGAAUUCCCAGUGUAGCGGUGAAAUGCGUAGAUAUUGGGAGGAACACCAGUGGCGAAGGCGGCUUUCUGGACUGCAACUGACGCUGAGGCUCGAAAGCCAGGGGAGCGAACGGGAUUAGAUACCCCAGUAGUC